CCUACGGGAGGCUGCAGUGGGGAAUAUUGCACAAUGGGGGAAACCCUGAUGCAGCGAAGCCGCGUGAGUGAAGAAGGACUUCGGGAUGUAAAGCUCUAUCAGCAGGGAAGAAAAUGACGGUACCUGAGUAAGAAGCCCCGGCUAACUACGUGCCAGCAGCCGCGGUAAUACGUAGGGGGCAAGCGUUAUCCGGAUUUACUGGGUGUAAAGGGGGCGUAGACGGCAGUGCAGGUCUGGAGUUAAAGGCGGGGGCUCAACCCCCGGACUGCUCUGGAAACUGUACGGCUGGAGUGCAGGAGAGGUAAGUGGAAUUCCUAGUGUAGCGGUGAAAUGCGUAGAUAUUAGGAGGAACACCAGUGGCGAAGGCGGCUUACUGGACUGUAACUGACGUUGAGGCUCGAAAGCGUGGGGAGCAAACAGGAUUAGAUACCCUAGUAGUC
This 440-nucleotide ribosomal RNA is filed under the name uncultured bacterium. RNAcentral's name for it is "partial 16S ribosomal RNA". It matches the Rfam family "Bacterial small subunit ribosomal RNA", at positions 338 to 795 of the family's 1533-position model. The record is from RNAcentral.